GACGAACGCUGGCGGCGUGCUUAACACAUGCAAGUCGAACGGAAAGGCCCUGCUUUUGUGGGGUGCUCGAGUGGCGAACGGGUGAGUAACACGUGAGUAACCUGCCCUUGACUUUGGGAUAACUUCAGGAAACUGGGGCUAAUAUCGGAUAGGAGCUCCUGCUGCAUGGUGGGGGUUGGAAAGUUUCGGCGGUUGGGGAUGGACUCGCGGCUUAUCAGCUUGUUGGUGGGGUAGUGGCUUACCAAGGCUUUGACGGGUAGCCGGCCUGAGAGGGUGACCGGCCACAUUGGGACUGAGAUACGGCCCAGACUCCUACGGGAGGCAGCAGUGGGGAAUAUUGCACAAUGGGCGGAAGGCUGAUGCAGCAACGCCGCGUGCGGGAUGACGGCCUUCGGGUUGUAAACCGCUUUCGCCUGUGACGAAGCGUGAGUGACGGUAAUGGGUAAAGAAGCACCGGCUAACUACGUG
RNAcentral lists this ribosomal RNA (468 nucleotides) under uncultured bacterium. Its description in RNAcentral is "partial 16S ribosomal RNA". It matches the Rfam family "Bacterial small subunit ribosomal RNA", at positions 28 to 507 of the family's 1533-position model. The record is from RNAcentral.